UACGAAGGGGGCUAGCGUUGCUCGGAAUCACUGGGCGUAAAGCGCACGUAGGCGGCUUCUUAAGUCAGGGGUGAAAUCCUGGGGCUCAACCCCAGAACUGCCUUCGAUACUGGCGGUCUCGAGUCCGGGAGAGGUGAGUGGAACUCCUAGUGUAGAGGUGAAAUUCGUAGAUAUUAGGAAGAACACCAGUGGCGAAGGCGGCUCACUGGCCCGGUACUGACGCUGAGGUACGAAAGCGUGGGGAGCAAACAGG
This 253-nucleotide ribosomal RNA is filed under the name uncultured bacterium. RNAcentral's name for it is "partial 16S ribosomal RNA". It matches the Rfam family "Bacterial small subunit ribosomal RNA", at positions 524 to 776 of the family's 1533-position model. The record is from RNAcentral.